This 253-nucleotide ribosomal RNA is filed under the name uncultured bacterium. RNAcentral describes it as "partial 16S ribosomal RNA". It matches the Rfam family "Bacterial small subunit ribosomal RNA", at positions 524 to 776 of the family's 1533-position model. The record is from RNAcentral.
UACGUAGGGGGCUAGCGUUGUCCGGAUUUAUUGGGCGUAAAGCGCGUGUAGGUGGCCAAGUAGGUCCGCUGUGAAAACUUGAGGCUCAACCUCAAGCUGUCGGUGGAAACCCCUUGGCUAGAGUCCGGAAGAGGAGAGUGGAAUUCCUGGUGUAGCGGUGAAAUGCGCAGAUAUCAGGAAGAACACCAAUGGCGAAGGCAGCUCUCUGGGACGGUACUGACACUGAGACGCGAAAGCGUGGGGAGCGAACAGG